RNA transcript from Sapajus apella (tufted capuchin), 6413 nucleotides. It is a transcript of the gene named 60S ribosomal protein L37-like, with no coding region annotated. The transcript is spliced from 2 exons. Lineage: Eukaryota; Metazoa; Chordata; Mammalia; Primates; Cebidae. The record is from RefSeq and is a predicted model, not a curated record.
ACCUCCCAAAGUGCUGGGAUUACAGGCAUGAGCCCCUGCACUCAGCCUAGGAUGUUUAAAAUUUAACUGCAUUAGUAAAAAAAAAAAACAGGAAAAGACUAGACCUUUGUAUUUUAUUUAGUCUUCUGCUGUCUUGCAGUUGAUCCUCCACCUUCCCUGAAGUGGUUAGGACAACUCCCUGUUUUUGCAGAAGGGCAGAGUGAAAGCAAGUGUCUUCUGUUGUUGCUGAAGCAGGCCAGCAGCCCACAAAGAUGUUGGACUUAAUCCAGCCCCAUUCUAAGCAGCUGGAUCUCCACACCUGCAGUCUUCCUGGAUUUUGAUUUUCUGUACACUUGGGCUUCCCACUAAUUUGGCAAGUUCAUACCAGUCCAGGACCCUUCCUGGCAGAGGUUGGCAUUCAAAACUGGUUGUAGCCACUCCUCCAGGCUCUUCUCCCUGAAUAAACAGAGGCCGGAUACUCUGGAGUGCUGUUCCCCGCUAGGCCUCCCUGGGAUGAGAGGGAGACCUCCCUCCCUCAUGGAGCAGGGCUGUUCUAGCUCUGUGGAUCCUGGAGUUUACCAGCCUGGCAGUCUCCAGGGAGUCCUGUUAAGAACACAGAUUGUGGCUGUGUCUCACCACAUGCCUGCCCAAACCCCAUGUUCAAAUCUGAAUUGCUCAGUGUAGAGCCCAGAAAUCUAUUAAGUUCAAAAAGCUAUUGUGGUGGUUCUGAUUGUGCCACACUGCAGUGGGAGCCACGGAUGACCAGUGAUCCCAUUUUGGGGAAGAGGAACUGCGGAUUAGUGCCUCCUGAACAUCUAGCCUGCAGAGCCUUUUCCCGAGCCUCCGUUUUCCUUCUUGGGGAAACGCCUGGGUGCCUGGGCUUCUGAAGGUGUGAAUAUGGGUGUGACAUGGGGAGUGAGCGAAAGCAGCACACUGCAAAGUCUGGCAGGGUGACUGGCAGUGUGAGAGUGGGGAGGUGGUCCAGAGACCCUCCUGGACCCCGGGAAGAAGCAUGCCAGAGCCUUUCCUUUCUGUCUUGCCCACCCAGCAGAAUCUCACCAUAAUCAUUUGACAGAUUAUAUUCAAGCACUGUGAGAGGGAGGUAGAAACAUCCUUUCAGAGCACAUUGGAAAUGUUUCGAGUUAUGAUUGAAGUAGAGACUCAUUCAUUCUGCUUAAGGUUCAGCAGAGCCUCCUGAAUUUUCUCAAAGAUGAGAUCAUUUUGUUCUUUGCAGAUCGAUUGCAAGCUGUUGUGCCUCUUAGCAGAGUCAGAGCGCAGUCAGGAAAUGAGUGGCCAUUCUCUCCUUAGUGUUUUCAGCAACUUGCAGUGAUGGCUGAGCAAGUUCCUGUGCAACUGCCUGAAAGUGAUUUGUUGGAGAGGAAUGAAGAGCAUGGCCAGAUGCCUUGGAGCCCAGCUCAUCUAGGACUUCCAUUUUCCCCUCUAAAUAACAGCCUGUGUUGUUCACACGAGAAUCGACUGCACCUCCGAGAACAUCAUUUGUCCCCUGUUUUUUUGGGUAGGUUUGCCCUUUAUGAGGGUGGAACCUGUACACAGGACCUGUGGCAGUGUUUGAUAUUAGCCAGGGCUGGGAAGGCUUAACUGUUGGAUGCUAGCAGGGCUGCUUGUGAGUCAGAAAGCUUCAUGCCACCCAUGAGGCUUGCUUAGUGCUGUCCUCAUUUCUGGAAUGACACGCAGUCACCUUAUAUAAACCAUUCUACAUGUUUGUUACUUUCUAUUGACAUUUAAAAAUGGUGUUCUGAUGUUUAUCAUCCAAAGUAGAAAACUAUUAAUCAUCCAGACCUACUUUUUCUCCUUUAAGUUUUGCUGUUUUCAUAUUGCUCUUAAAUGUUUAAGAGAGCUUACAUAAGAAACUGCUUAUUAGGAUCUUUGAGACCUUCUGGCACUGAUGAACACAGGUGAGCCCUGUGCCACACCUCACCGUGUUAUUCUCCAGCCCCUCCUGGGUUCCCUUUUGUUAUGAAUCAAGUGCACACUCCUGAUCUGCUUCUGCCUCAGAGCAUAGACUCAGCUGGCCUUCUUUUUUUUUGAGACAAUUACACUCUGUUUCCCAGGCUGGAGUGCAGUGGUGCAGUCUUGGCUCACUGCAACAUCUGCCUCCUGGGUUCAAGCGAUUCUUUUGCCUCAGCCUCCCUAGUAGCUGGGAUUACAGGCACGCGCCACCACACCCAUCAGCCGGCCUUCUGAGGCAGCCUCCAGAGUCCCUUGUUUUGCAGGUGCAGGAUUUAUCUCUAUGUGUCACGUGGCACAUGUGAUACCAUGUGAGAUAUCCGGUGUUAAGUCUUCACAUAUUUCGAUGAAGAUAUCUUGGGGACCUUGGCAGCUUUUUAGGAAGCCAGGCAGCUUGCAAAAGCUUAGGAAGAAUUUGGGGGGAAAGGAAUGAAUGUGGGAUUUUCUGUCUGUCAACAUACAUAUAUAUACAUGUGCCACAUAUUGGCAGGUACUUGCAGAAGCCUUAUCACUAAAUUCUCAUCAGCUCUCUGAAGCAGAAGCUGUGAAGUGUCUUAUGUAUGGGACAGCGGACUCAGAGAGGCAGUGUGCCUGGCCUGUGGCAAAACAGAAAGACUUCUGUGGCUUUACCCCACCUUGUUCCUGAGUAGGUGAUAGAUCUGCCUUUAGCAGGCCUGGCUGCUUUGUACUCCCCAGGCACAGCGUGAGGUGAUAAACAGUCCUGAAUCCAUCUUUGUACAGUUCAUCAGAAAUAUUGGCCUGCUUUUUGAACCUGGGUCUGGACUUAGGAGACUGUCCCGGCUUUUCACUCACUUCUUUACCGCAUCUGAAAUUCACUGGGUGCCCACAGUGAGCGAGUCCCAGUGUUAAAUGCCAUAGAGUGGAUAAGUCUGCCCACUUCGAGGCCGUUCUCCAGAGCAUGUCCUGCCUUGCCCUGGUCCGAAGCAGGCAGUUUCUCCUCUAGACUCCAUUUUAUUUUAAUUUGAAUCAUUUUUCCUAAGCUCAGCACUUUUCUACUUUGCCUUGGGGUCACAUCUCUGUUCAGAGUUCUGAGGCAGAGUCUGUGUGUUUCAUCUCUGCCUCUUGAUCCCUGGCAGGGUCCACAGGCUCAGAAAAGAUUGAAGGAGUGACUGUGUCGAAAGGGCUAGAACAUGGGCCUGGGCCCAGAGCUCAAAAGCAGUUCCAGAAAACCUGCCUAUAAAGGGUGUAGGUGUGUCCCAGGAAGGCUUCCAUUGGUUCCUAAGAACUGCAGAGUUAUCCUGGGCUCCUAAAGGUACCCUGAGGCCUGCUCCUUUUUGUCACUUUCCAAAUGGCCUUCUCUGCACAAAGGACUUCAGUAUUGAUUUCCUCAGUUCUCCCUUACAGGUCUGGAGAAGCUCUUUUUGUUUCACCCAAUGACACAGCAUCUUCCAACAGGGCUGGAGAGGCCGGGAGCUGGCAGCAGCCAGACCCCGCUUCCAUAGCUGCACAGAGAGCAGCCCUGGGCACUGUGAAAGGAGUCUCUUAAAAAUCUUCUCUCGUGUGGCUGGCAGUAAGAUCAGAUACCAUAUACGUGAAGCUUCUUAUUCACUGUCAAUUCAGAAAAGCCUAGAAUCGCAGAGUGCCGGCUCUAUGCGUCAGGAACCUGUAAACAACCCAGCCAUCCGAGAGCUCCCAGCACAGAGCUGUGCUCCAGUGAACUGGGAAGACUUUUUACAGAAAAUUCCUUAGUAUUCAAUUGAGAACAAACAUUUCCCAUUUUAAAGUAUCUUCCUCAGUGUUUAUUAAAGUAGAAUUCUAUAUUUUUUUGUCAUUUAAAAAAUUCUUCCUUGACACUGAAUGAAUGAAUAAAUGAAUGGAUGGUUUAAAAAUCCAAACAGUGGGAGGAUGGGAAGGCCCCUUCAUGUGCAGAGGAAAAGCCAGACCCUUCACUGGUCCUUCCUUUCAGGAUCAGUUCAGACCGCUAGCAUCCAAGCCCGGUUAGCACUUCUUCCUGGGUUGGGUUGAGGGGGAGGGUCUUCCUCGGUUCUGAUAGCACUCCAUGCCCAGCGUCCCUGUGGUCUUGGGGCUGUGGUGACUCAGAAUUAAGCUGAGUGCUCUCACUGUCCUGGCCCCUUUCUGGCUGGCCCGAUGACUCAGCACCGAGUGCUGGCUCCCUGACCCAGAGCACACUUGAACUGAAUGUUCCAGGUCUGAGCCUCAGCCCAACGUGGCUGGGCAAAAUGGAAGCCUCUCUCUCAUGCUGCAUUUUACCCUGGAAGAUGAAGGUUUUGGAGAUGUUAGUGACACAUGGAUGUUACCACAGUGUACAGCUGUGACAGGAGUGGCAGAAAGGUUAGCAUCUAACUGGCCUUACCAUCAAUUCUGGGUUCUAGAGAUCUUAGGCAAAGCACUUACCCUCCCUGAGCCUCAGUCUCCCCUUCUGUGAAAUGGGCAUAGCAAAACUCCUGCCAACAGGGUUGGGAGAAUCAAGGGAGAUAGUGCAUCGGAGGUGAAUGCCCCACAGCCUGAACUGAUGGAUGUGUGGAACCCCCAGAAACAUUUGCAGCCUGCUCUGUGGAAUAGAAAUGUGUUUUCGGAUAGGUGUGUGGCCUCUCCACACAGUAGACUGUCCUGGCUGUCCAUGGGCCUUUCAGAUGUCCGAGAGGCUUGGGAUCUUGUUUCUUAGAUUAGAAGCGAGGCCUCCUCUUAUCCUCCUGUACAGAGUGUAACUGACUCCCUCUACCAGCGUCUAGGUGGCUCUCAGAGCCCUUCCUGGGGCUUCCCAUGCCCCUUGUGAGUGGAAGACAUAGAAGAACAGUAACAGGUGAAGCUGCGGGGCCUUGACCUGUCUGCCGUCCCCUGCCUGUGUGUCCGUAGAUGCAUCUCCCCAUUCUAUGCCCAAGACAGGCUGGGGCCUUGUUUCCAGCACUGUGCUGUGUAGAGCACUGGCUUUACUCAGCCCCAGCUCCUCCAGGGGAGGGUCUCCUUAGCCUUGUCUGUGUAGCCCCGAAGUACCAGGCAGGAAGUAGGAGUGCAGCCUGUAAGGGGGGAUAUCAGGCUGCCUUACUGAGGUACCAAUUACCUGCACAGCUGUUCUGGACCCAACUCUUAGGGGUGUAAAUGUCACUGCAGAUGGAAGGAGGGAGGGGUUUUCCGAGUGCCACCACCUUCUUUCAGGGAGUGUGGCUGCUUGGGCCAAAUGCUUGAGAAGCUGCUGUAGGUGGGAGCAGAGCCCCCCGGGACUUAAGGGUCUCACCGUCCAUCAGAGACCCUUGCCUGCACUGCAGCUGAUGAACUGAGGAUGUUUUUCUUUUGGAAAUUGUAUUUUGUACAGAAUACACGUCCGCUGAUGCUGUGCACUGAGACCUAACAGACAGUUGUAGGGUGGUGUCUGGAUGACGGACUCGCCAGGUAGCUGACCAGGGUGUUCACUUUUAGCAUGGAUAUGUAGCAGAUGAGAGAGGCCCUUUUCCUUGUCUCUGUCUAAAUUCAGAGUUUGCUUCCUGGGAUGGAAAUUUCAGGUACUUUCCAUCUGUGAUUUGUGACUGGAGGAUUAAAGCACGUGGCUCUGCUUUUUUUUUUCCUGAAGAAGAGAUAGGUCGUUUCUCAUGUGCCCUGAAGCUAACUUUUGUGCGACAUCCCAGUCCCUACCUCUGCCACAUGAAACCCGUGAGGCGGGCUGCAGGGGCUGGGGCUGCAGGCAGGCUGGAUUCUGACAAGUGCCCCCAGCAGGAGAAAUACCAGCAGCUGCGGAUGGUGCCUGGCCUGGGGACGCCUGACGUGUGCCCUGGUGAGGGUCCGCCGAGGGUGUUGAGGAAACGCCAGCAGAUGUUCUGCUCCCAGACAGACCCUUCUGUGCCCCAGCCUGGCUUGGCUUUUCUCCCUAGGCCUCAGGGAGAUGUGUGCACAGAGCCGCAGUCAGUGCACCUGGGUGUCCCUGCUCAGCUGAGAGUUUGUCUGCAGUGCAGGCCUCUUCCCCAGAGCAGUGGCCCGGCCUGUUGGAGAGGCGGGUGGUUUAGGGCUUAAGUCCUUAGAGUUGUUUUUGGCUGUUUGCUUCCAGGUUGUGAAACUUUAAAUACAGUCUUCAGCAGAGAAAGUGACAUCCUUGCUAAUUAGCCCUCUUAAGACUCUCAGGCUUUUCUGGUCCCGGUCGCAGAGGCAGGAUGACGAAGGGAACGUCAUCGUUUGGGAAGCGUCGCAGUAAGACGCACACGUUGUGCCGCCGCUGUGGCUCUAAGGCCUGCCACCUUCAGAAGUCAACCUGCAGCAAAUGUGGCUACCCCACCAAGCGCAAGAGAAAGUAUAACUGGAGUGCCAAGGCUAAAAGACGAAAUAACCACCGGGACUGGUCGAAUGAAGCACCUAAAAAUUGUAUACCGCAGAUUCAGGCGUGGAUUCCAUGAGGGAACAACACCUAAACCCAAGAGGGCAGCUGUUGCAGCAUCCAGUUCAUCUUAAGAAUUUCACCGAUUAGUCAUGCAAUAAAUGUUCUGGUUUUAAAAAUA